GAUUGAACGCUGGCGGCAGGCCUAACCCAUGCAAGUCGAAUGGUAACAGGAAACAGCUUGCUGUUUCGCUGACGAGUGGCGGACGGGUGAGUAAUGUCUGGGAAACUGCCUGAUGGAGGGGGAUAACUACUGGAAACGGUAGCUAAUACCGCAUAACGUCGCAAGACCAAAGAGGGGGACCUUCGGGCCUCUUGCCAUCAGAUGUGCCCAGAUGGGAUUAGCUAGUAGGUGGGGUAACGGCUCACCUAGGCGACGAUCCCUAGCUGGUCUGAGAGGAUGACCAGCCACACUGGAACUGAGACACGGUCCAGACUCCUACGGGAGGCAGCAGUGGGGAAUAUUGCACAAUGGGCGCAAGCCUGAUGCAGCCAUGCCGCGUGUAUGAAGAAGGCCUUCGGGUUGUAAAGUACUUUCAGCGGGGAGGAAGGGAGUAAAGUUAAUACCUUUGCUCAUUGACGUUACCCGCAGAAGAAGCACCGGCUAACUCCGUG
Molecule: ribosomal RNA, 491 nt
Filed under: uncultured bacterium
Lineage: Bacteria
Description: partial 16S ribosomal RNA
Rfam family: Bacterial small subunit ribosomal RNA
Source: RNAcentral